CCUACGGGUGGCAGCAGUGGGGAAUUGUUCGCAAUGGGCGCAAGCCUGACGACGCAACGCCGCGUGGAGGAUGAAGGUCUUCGGAUUGUAAACUCCUGUUGCCCGGGACGAAUGGCUCCGACCUAACACGUCGGAGUGUGACGGUACCGGGUGAGGAAGCCCCGGCUAACUCUGUGCCAGCAGCCGCGGUAAUACAGAGGGGGCAAGCGUUGUUCGGAAUUACUGGGCGUAAAGGGCGCGUAGGCGGCCUGCUAAGUCGAACGUGAAAUCCCCGGGCUCAACCCGGGAACUGCGUCCGAGACUGACAGGCUUGAAUCCGGGAGAGGGAUGUGGAAUUCCAGGUGUAGCGGUGAAAUGCGUAGAUAUCUGGAGGAACACCUGCGGCGAAGGCGGGUUGCUGGGCUGACACUGACGCUGAGGCGCGAAAGCUAGGGGAGCGA
Molecule: ribosomal RNA, 440 nt
Filed under: uncultured bacterium
Lineage: Bacteria
Description: bacterial SSU rRNA
Rfam family: Bacterial small subunit ribosomal RNA
Source: RNAcentral